CUGCGGAAGGAUCAUUACCGAGUGCGGGCCCUCUGGGUCCAACCUCCCAUCCGUGUCUAUCUGUACCCUGUUGCUUCGGCGUGGCCACGGCCCGCCGGAGACUAACAUUUGAACGCUGUCUGAAGUUUGCAGUCUGAGUUUUUAGUUAAACAAUCGUUAAAACUUUCAACAACGGAUCUCUUGGUUCCGGCAUCGAUGAAGAACGCAGCGAAAUGCGAUAAUUAAUGUGAAUUGCAGAAUUCAGUGAAUCAUCGAGUCUUUGAACGCACAUUGCGCCCCCUGGUAUUCCGGGGGGCAUGCCUGUCCGAGCGUCAUUGCUGCCCUCAAGCACGGCUUGUGUGUUGGGCUUCCGUCCCUGGCAACGGGGACGGGCCCAAAAGGCAGUGGCGGCACCAUGUCUGGUCCUCGAGCGUAUGGGGCUUUGUCACCCGCUCCCGUAGGUCCAGCUGGCAGCUAGCCUCGCAACCAAUCUUUUUAACCAGGUUGACCUCGGAUCAGGUAGGGAUACCCGCUGAACUUAAGCAUAUCAAUAAGCGGAGGAAAU
Molecule: ribosomal RNA, 544 nt
Filed under: Aspergillus chevalieri
Lineage: Eukaryota; Fungi; Ascomycota; Eurotiomycetes; Eurotiales; Aspergillaceae
Description: eukaryotic LSU rRNA
Rfam family: 5.8S ribosomal RNA (bases 161-314)
Source: RNAcentral